CAGGAUGAACGCUAGCGGCAGGCUUAACACAUGCAAGUCGAGGGGCAGCGCGAGUAGCAAUACUUGGCGGCGACCGGCGCAAGGUGCGUAACGCGUGAGCAACAUGCCCGUAUCAGGGGGAUAAUCCUAGGGAAACUUGGUCUAAUACCCCAUAGUAAUUUUUGUAAGGCAUCUUAUAAGAUUUAAAGCUUUGGUGGAUACGGAUUGGCUCGCGUGACAUUAGCUGGAUGGUAAGGUAACGGCUUACCAUGGCUAUGAUGUCUAGGGGUUCUGAGAGGAAGGUCCCCCACACUGGAACUGAGACACGGUCCAGACUCCUACGGGAGGCAGCAGUGAGGAAUAUUGGACAAUGGGAUGGAAAUCUGAUCCAGCCAUGCCGCGUGAAGGAAAAGAAGGUCCUAUGGAUUGUAAACUUCUUUUGUAUGGGUAGCAAUAAGGCCUACGAGUAGGUUGAUGAGAGUACCAUACGAAUAAGCACCGGCUAACUCCGUGCCAGCAGCUGC
This 503-nucleotide ribosomal RNA is filed under the name uncultured bacterium. RNAcentral describes it as "bacterial SSU rRNA". It matches the Rfam family "Bacterial small subunit ribosomal RNA", at positions 25 to 518 of the family's 1533-position model. The record is from RNAcentral.